RNAcentral lists this ribosomal RNA (468 nucleotides) under uncultured bacterium. RNAcentral describes it as "partial 16S ribosomal RNA". It matches the Rfam family "Bacterial small subunit ribosomal RNA", at positions 28 to 507 of the family's 1533-position model. The record is from RNAcentral.
GACGAACGCUGGCGGCGUGCUUAACACAUGCAAGUCGAACGGAAAGGCCCUGCUUUUGUGGGGUGCUCGAGUGGCGAACGGGUGAGUAACGCGUGAGUAACCUGCCCUUGACUUUGGGAUAACUUCAGGAAACUGGGGCUAAUACCGGAUAGGAGCUCCUGCUGCAUGGUGGGGGUUGGAAAGUUUCGGCGGUUGGGGAUGCACUCGCGGCUUAUCAGCUUGUUGGUGGGGUAGUGGCUUACCAAGGCUUUGACGGGUAGCCGGCCUGAGAGGGUGACCGGCCACAUUGGGACUGAGAUACGGCCCAGACUCCUACGGGAGGCAGCAGUGGGGAAUAUUGCACAAUGGGCGGAAGCCUGAUGCAGCAACGCCGCGUGCGGGAUGACGGCCUUCGGGUUGUAAACCGCUUUCGCCUGUGACGAAGCGUGAGUGACGGUAAUGGGUAAAGAAGCACCGGCUAACUACGUG